CCUACGGGAGGCAGCAGUGGGGGAUAUUGCACAAUGGGGGGAACCCUGAUGCAGCGACGCCGCGUGGGUGAAGGAGUGCUUCGGCAUGUAAAGCCCUAUCGGCAGGGAAGAAGCAAGACGGUACCUGACUAAGAAGCCCCGGCUAACUACGUGCCAGCAGCCGCGGUAAUACGGAGGGGGCGAGCGUUAUCCGGAUUCACUGGGUGUAAAGGGAGCGUAGACGGCCAUGCAAGCCAGGGGUGAAAGCCCGGGGCCCAACCCCGGGACUGCCCUUGGAACUGUGCGGCUAGAGUGCGGGAGGGGCAGGCGGUAUUCCUGGUGUAGCGGUGAAAUGCGUCGAUAUCAGGAGGCACACCGGCGGCGAAGGCGGCCUGCUGGACUGCGACUGACGUUGCGGCUCGAAAGCGUGGGGAGCGAACAGGAUUAGCUACCCGGGUAGUC
This 441-nucleotide ribosomal RNA is filed under the name uncultured bacterium. RNAcentral describes it as "partial 16S ribosomal RNA". It matches the Rfam family "Bacterial small subunit ribosomal RNA", at positions 338 to 795 of the family's 1533-position model. The record is from RNAcentral.